Molecule: long non-coding RNA, 521 nt
Filed under: Fukomys damarensis (Damara mole-rat)
Lineage: Eukaryota; Metazoa; Chordata; Mammalia; Rodentia; Bathyergidae
Description: lncRNA (ENSFDAG00000028607.1)
Source: RNAcentral
CAUUAAAUAAGAGUCAGUAAUGAAAACAAUAGCAAGGAACUGCUGGAGGACACAGAGCUGGAAUAAUGAAGAGGGAACAGCCAGAGAUGUCAAAUGAACUCUGAAAAUAGAUGUGGCUUAAUGAGUGUGGAGAGGUUGGCUUUAUCCAAACAGGCAGAUUCAACCAGCCUUGAGAGUCAGCUCUCUCCACAAAUUUGACAAAGGGAGACAAAAUGGCUGCUGUUGAACAAUGGUGGACUCAAAUUCUUUCUUGACCUUAGUGCACAGUUCCUUCUCCAUCACAGAAGCUCCUCUGGAACCCACACCAACCCCUACAAGAGAAGAUCUGGCUGUUUGGCUCAGGGCCCAAGGUGAGCACUGAAUUGUAGAAUUUGAAGACUAGAGGACCUUAAUUAAGCAAAAGCAUAUUAACUUCUCUGAGGAUAAUUCAUCGUCUGUAAAAAGGAACAGAGAACACUGAUGGGCUUUCCUCAGAGAUACUGUAAGUAUUGUUAAUACUAACAGGUGUCAUUUAUGAAGUA